RNAcentral lists this ribosomal RNA (568 nucleotides) under Alloxysta sp. 3 FY-2018. RNAcentral describes it as "partial 16S ribosomal RNA". Lineage: Eukaryota; Metazoa; Arthropoda; Insecta; Hymenoptera; Figitidae. The record is from RNAcentral.
UCACCUGUUUUAUCAAAAACAUGUCUUUAAGAAAUUAAUUUUAAAGUCAAAUCUGCUCAAUGAAUAAUUUUUUAAAUAGCUGCAAUAUCUCUAAUUGUACAAAGGUAGCAUAAUCAUUUGUCUUUUAAUUAAAGAAUAGAAUGAAAGAUUUCAUAAAAUAUUAACUAUAUAAAAUUUAAUAAAAUUUUUAAUUUUAUUUUAAAGUAAAAAAUCUUUAAUAUUUUUAUUAGACGAUAAGACCCUAUAGAACUUUAUAUUAUAAUAAUUAAAUAAAAAUUUAAUUAUGUAAAUUAAUUAAUUUAUAAUAUUAUAUUGGGGGUAUAAAAAAAUUAAACAAAUUUUUUUAUUUUAAAUAAUACUUAUAAGUAAAAUUCAAAUAAGAGUGUUAAUUUAUAAAUUACUAAAACUAGUUACCUUAGGGAUAACAGCAUAAUUUUUUUAAAAAGUUCUUAUUGAUAAAAAAGAUUAUGACCUCGAUGUUGAAUUAAGAUAAAUAUUAAAAGAAGAUUUUUUUUUAUUAAGUCUGUUCGACUUUUAAAAUCUUACAUGAUCUGAGUUCCAAAUCGAA